RNAcentral lists this ribosomal RNA (499 nucleotides) under uncultured bacterium. Its description in RNAcentral is "bacterial SSU rRNA". It matches the Rfam family "Bacterial small subunit ribosomal RNA", at positions 28 to 561 of the family's 1533-position model. The record is from RNAcentral.
GAUGAACGCUGGCGGCGUGCCUAAGACAUGCAAGUCGUGCGGCAGCGGACCCUUCGGGGUGCCGGCGGGCGGCGGACGGCUGAGUAACGCGUGGGAAUUUGCCCCAAAGUGAGGGAUAACUGCCCGAAAGGGUGGCUAAUACCGCAUGUGAUCUUCGGAUUAAAGCUUCGGCGCUUCGGGAGAAGCCCGCGUCAGAUUAGGUAGUUGGUGAGGUAAAGGCUCACCAAGCCGAUGAUCUGUAGCUGGUUUGAGAGGAUGAUCAGCCAGACUGGAACUGAGAUACGGUCCAGACUCCUACGGGAGGCAGCAGUUAGGAAUAUUCCACAAUGGGGGCAACCCUGAUGGAGCAACGCCGCGUGGAGGAUGAAGGCCCUCGGGUCGUAAACUUCUUUUCUAUGCGAAGAAUAUGACGGUAACAUAGGAAUAAGGGUCUGCUAACUACGUGCCAGCAGCCGCGGUCAUACGUAGGACCCAAGCGUUAUCCGGAUUGACUGGGCGU